This 4737-nucleotide long non-coding RNA is filed under the name Canis lupus familiaris (dog). RNAcentral describes it as "lncRNA (ENSCAFG00845018295.1)". Lineage: Eukaryota; Metazoa; Chordata; Mammalia; Carnivora; Canidae. The record is from RNAcentral.
AUGGAAAAGGAGAGAGAAGAUACCCUUUACCAAAAGGAGUCACUGAGACCUUAUGGAGAAGAAGGAGAGAGAAGAUACCUUUUACCAAAAGGAGUCGGACCAGCAGCUGUACACUUACAGUAUUGUUCGGAUUUUCUUAGAGGACCUAAGGCAGGUGGCAUCAAGCCAGCCCUCCCCCGCCUCCCUCUAGAGCCCCCUGGGAGCCGAGUGCGGGGCGCAGGCUUGAUGGCCCGGCCCGCGGAGGACAGGGCACCUCGCUGCCCAGAUGGCACCGCCGCCUGCCUUCCUGCCAAGGACGGGACAAGCCGCAAAUUUCCCGCCGACCAUGUGUGAUCUCUGUGGUCUUCCUCCCAAGCUCUUCCUCCAGCCACCCUCGACUGCAAAGGCGGCUCUACUCCUGGCUCUCCAGCACCAAGUGGCUUCAAGAAAGAGAAAAUAAGGACACUAGGCCUCUGGGCCGUGGAGUGGCCCCAUCAGGAAGCUGACAGGGAGUAAAAUGCCACCUACACGGGGCCUCUGUGUGGCCUUGAGUGAGUGUGUCCCAACGAGCUUCGGAGUUUUCACCUGGGCCACAUAGGUGCCGUGGGACAGAGCGUCCCAGGUUUCUCCGGGUGCCAAGGAACCGAGGGCCCGGGCCUGCCUUUGAGAGCUGGUACAAAGCCGUCCUCCUCCUCCUCCUCCAGGGCUGCGAGGUGGCAGGUCUUCCUCCCUCUCCUGGCACCAGGGCACCAGGCUGCAGGGACAGCGCUGGGGCCUGAGUGACAAGGAAACGAGCUGGGAAAGGCUGUUUGCAGGGAGGAGGAGCAGCCCAGAACCACCAACGCCCUGCGUGCAGGGCCCAACCCGCGCAGGGUCCCAGGGGACCCGGACCCGGACAGGGCGGCCCUGCAGAGAUGCCGAGCAUUCCUUCCAAAGGGGGGCGAGCCCAGGAAUCUGUGUUUUCCUACCGAGGCUGACCUCAGGCUCCGUCAGCCUCUGAGUCUCCACAGCUGCAUCCCUGGGCUCUAUCAGCCACCAGUCUCCAAGCCACGGAUUGAAGCGCUUUUCAACCAGGAGAUAAGGACAUUGGUUUGGCGACACACAAUAGUCUAGUCUUGUCUUUUCAAGGAAGCUGUGAUUUUUCAAGACACCAGAUUUCUAACUGUACCAACCACUUAACAUCACACACACAUGAAGUGAUGGGCAGGAGUUACACACAUUGAUCUUCUGAACCUAUUUCCUUCCGUCUUUGCACCAUUGUUCCCUUUGUGCCCAACCUUCACGUCAUGAAGGCCACGCAGUCUCUCAAAUCCCGAGGCUACGUAAAGGAACAGUUACCCUGGAGACAUUUCUACUGGUACCUUACCAACGUGGGUAUCCAGUAUCUCCGUGAUUACCUCCACCAACCCCCCGAGAUUGUGCCUGCCACUCUGGGCCGCAGCUGACCUGAGACCGGCAGGCCACGGCCCAAAGGUCUGGAGGGAGAGCGACCUGCAAGACUCACACAAGGGGAAGCUGACAAAGACACCUACAGACGAAGCGCUGGACCCCCUGGCGCCGACAAGAAAGCUGAGGCCGGGGCUGGGCCAGCAACCGAGUUCCAGCUUAGAGGCGGAUUUGGUCGUGGACAUGGUCAGCCACCUCAGUAAAAUUGGAGAUUGUUUUGUGUUGAAUAAAUCGAUAGCCAGAAAAACAUUAAAAAAUAUAUAUAUAUAUAUAUUAGGCCAAAUUAGGUGGGUCAGUCUGGUCUGUGUUGCUUGGCAGAGGUUCAAAUCUCCUCCACCUCGGCCUUCAGAAAGUCGGAAGAAGCCAAGAUGAAUCUCAAUCUCCGUUUCAACUGUAAGUAACAAGAAAGAAAGAAAAAAGAAAGAAAAGAAAGAAAGAAAGAAAGAAAGAAAGAAAGAAAAGAAAGAAAAAAAAAGAAAGAAAGAAAGAAAGAAAGAAAAAGAAAAAGAAAGAAGAAAGAAAAAGAAGAAUGAGGAAAUGAAAUCAAACUUUAAAAUUUUUCUCCAGGACAAAAAAAAAAAAAGAGGGUGUGUUUGUAUUCUCUCUUUUUCCUGCCUGUCCCAUUGUAUAUGAUUUCACAUCCCAAGAAUUUCUGUUACAAGUCAGACCCAGCUCUGCCUUUGAAAGAGGCAGCCAAGUGCAGUUAUGGGAACGAAGGGUAUCUCGUCUACGAGGCCAGCAUUGAGGGAUAAGCUGCGGCUCUUAAACGUUGGGGAACAGGAGUGACAAGAGCUUCCUGAAACUGUGAAGUCCUGGCCCAAGGGAUGCAGCUCAGUCACACCGUCAGGGGACUCUGGAGCAAGUGAGUUGGGGAGGGGCAGUCGCUGAGAAACACUGCAAAUUAGAGCAAAACACCUCUGGCUCUGGCAGCCUGUAGGCCUCGGGGAGGACCAGAAGCUUAGGGGGUGAAGAAGUUGAAGUCGUAAGUAUGGACAUCCUUUUAAAAAUGGUUAGAAAGGGAAAGGAAGAAAUUGAACAAUAGCUGGUGGUAGGUGUCAGGAGGAAGGAAGAUACCGUGUACCUUUUUUUUUUUUUUUAAAGAAUGGAAAGAUUUAGGGCGCCUGGGUGGCUCAGUGGUUGAGCGUCUGCCUUUGGUUCAGGGCAUGAUCCCGGGGUCCUGGGAUCAAGUCCCACAUCAGGGUCCCCGUGGGAGCCGGCUUCUCCCUCUGCCUGUGUCUCUGCCUCUCUAUGUCCCUCAUGAAUAAAUAAAUAAAAUCUUAAAAAAAAAAAAAAAAAAGAAUGGCAAGAUUUAAAUGUAUUUAUGUGCUUAAAUGAAAGGACUGAUAGAGAGGUUGGAGAUUACAGGAGAACAGAAGAUGACCGGAGUCUAGGCCCCAGGAGGUAAGAGCACUGAGGAUCCAGCUCAUCGCCAGUGCGAGACCAACCAGCUUUGCAGAGGAAUAGGGAACUGUAUCCUCGGAGUCAGGAGGCAACCUGAGGAACCUUCUGGGAUAAGAGUAAAUGGACGGAGUCCUAAAGUUCCUAUACAAGUGUUGCUUGGUCGUUUGAACUUAUUUGAAGUGUUGAAAUAGGGAAUAGGACUUAGAGAAGAAAAAAAAAAUGCAUACCCAGGAAAGCUCUAGUUGUCGGAGCCCAACCAGCGGUUCCCAGAUGUUCAGGAGAAAUGGCUCUAUCUUCUCACCAAAAAAGGGCUGAUUGGAGUCCUAGCCUCUCCUCGUGGCUGCUAACUGACCCUCUUGUUAAAAACAUCCUGCACGGAUGACUUAUUUGAGGCCAGUGACCCGGUGGUUCUCGGGGGACAAUAUCUCGCAAAGCCCCAGGCAGUGCUAAGGGCUCUAACCCAGUGUUUCUCACGUCUGUUUUGCAUUAUAUGCGAGUCGUGCACGUAUAGCAAGAGCGAGCAGCAGGAAAGGGGGGGGGGGGGAAGUCCCUCGCAGUCACGCAAAGAUGUGCCUUUUAAGACCUGGUUGCCACCCUAGCUCCCCCCAGGAUGCCCCGACAGCCCUGGCCUCCCGGCAUUCAGGGCCGCGUGUCGUCCCCUCACACACGGACUCGAGGCCGGCCCUGCGUGCCGCGGCCAGGGCAAAGGUGCAGCUUGGGGGCCGAGGCCAUAGAAGGCCGCGGAGCUUCCCCGGUGACCGGUGGGUGUCGGUAGCAGCAUCUUCACAUUUGGGGCCAGAGAAUUCUUUGCCUUGGGAGGCCGUUUUGGGUGCUGUAAGGGGUCUCAAGCACCCGGGUCUCUACCCGUUAGGGGCUCAGCUGUAAGAGACCAAUGUCCCCAGACCCUGCUGAAGGACCUCGGGGUGCGGGGUAAAGCUGUCCCCAGCUGCUGGCUCGGGGGAAAGCAGCUCCCAAACAUCGUGACACGGCUCAGGGAGGAACUGAGUGCCCCCCAGCCAAGGACGGACCCCAGGGGCCAUCACUGUAGGAAAGCCACCCGAGAGUGGGUCCAGCCCCAGACACCCGGGCUCCAGCCAAAACUGGUGGCGAACACGCGGGAGCCAGGGAGACCCCGACGGAUGGCCCCCAAAUUCUUGACCCACGGAAACCAGGGGAGAUCAUCAUGAUUGUGUUUUAAAAGCCACCCAGUUUGGGGGAGACUCGCUCAGUAGGUGCCUUGUUAGGCAUCACCCUUGAUGUUUGAAUCCCAGGGCCACACACAGGAGAUGUGCACUGUCUCCAAAAUCCUUUUUCUUUCUGGAGAGCGUUUCCCUCAGGUCCAGGUGGAGAAUGGUGAUCGGCACCACUGUCUGCUCCGCACACAGAAUUAUCCUGUGAACCUGAAUUAUUCACAGCAUUUCAGUUGGCGGGGAGAAGCAUAAACGCUAGCCCUAAGGAGUGUGGCGGGAGGGGAUGCUGGCUCCCAAGUCUUAGCUAUCGCAUCCCAAUUGUGAACUACGUUCCUGUCCCCAAAGCAAUGACAUACUUGCAGGAACCCCGGCCCUGUCUGGCCGGGUGUGUAGGACAAAGGGGGCCUCCGUCGGGCUCAGGCCAGGUCACCGCGGGAGGCAGGGGGCGAGGGACCUGGGGCGUUGUGCUGAUUCAGGCUGAUUAUCCAGGGGCCUGCCCACCUCCGUGGCCUGAAGGACAAUGACAAUAUCAUCUGCUGCCUAAAAAACCAAAUCGGGGGGCAGCCCGGGUGGCCCAGUGGUUUAACACCGCCUUCGGCCCAGGGCCUGAUCCUGGAGACCCGGGAUCGAGUCCCAUGUCGGGCUCCCUGCAUGGAGCCUGCUUCUCCCUCUGCGUGUGUCUCUAUGAAUAAAUAAAUAAAACUUUAAAAAAAAUCGAUAU